UCUUUUCUCCACAUCCUCACCAACAUUUGUUAUUUUUAAUGACAGCUAUUCUGACAGGUUGAGAUGAUAUCUCAUUGUGUGUUAAUUUGCAUAUGUCCCUGAUGAUUAAUACAUUGAGCACUUUUCAGGUGCCUGUUGGCCAUCUGCCUUUCCUUCUCAGAAAAAAUGUCUAUUUAGUUCUUCUGCUCAUUUCUUUUUUUUUAGGGCCACACCCAUGGCAUGUGGAAGUUCCCAGGCUAGGGGUCAAAUCAGAGCUGCUGGCCUACACCACAGCCACAGCAAUGCCAGAUCCAAGCCGCAUCUGCAACCUACAGCACAGCUCACAGCAAUGCCAGAUUCUUAACCCACUGAGUGAAGCCAAGGAUCAAACCCGCGUUCUUGUGGAUACUAAUCAGGUUCAUUUCUGCUGAGCCACAAUGGGAACUCAUUUUAAUUAGAUUUUUUUUUAAUAUUUAAGCUGUUUAUAUAUUUUGGAUAUUACUCUCUUGUCAGUGGCAUCUUUUGCAAAUAUUUCCUCCUAUUAUGUAGGUUAUCUUUUUGUUAAUGGUUUCCAUUGCUGUGCAGAAGCUUUUAAUUAAGUCUCAUUUGUUUAUUUUUGCUUUUAUUUCCUUUAUUUUAGGAGACCUGCAAUUUAUGUAAAAGAGAGUUCUGCCUAUGUUUUCCUUAGGAGUAUUGUAGUACCCAUGAUCUUUCAUGACCUGAUAGCUCAUUUCUUUUUUGCACUGAAUAAUAUAUAUUGUAUGGAAGUAUCAUAGUUGAUUUAUCCUUUCACCUAUUGAAAGAUAUCUAAGUUGCUUCUGAGUUUUGGCAAUUGUGAAUAAAGCUGCUUUAAACAUGCAUCUGCAUGUUUUCAUGUAGCCAUAAAGUUUUAACUCCUUUGGGUAAAUACCCAAGAGCAUGACUCUUAGAUGAUACGGUAUGCUUAGUUUUAUAGAAAAAUGCCAAACAGUCUUCCAAGUUGUCUGUACCAUUUUGCAUUCCCACCAGCAAUGGAUGAGAGGCCCUAUUGUUCCACAUUCUCACCAGCAUUUGGUGUGGUCAGUGUCCUGGAUAUUGUCCAUUCUAACAGGCGUGUAAUGUUGUAUCACUUUUGUUUAAUUUGCAUUCUCCUGAUGAUAUGUAAUGUGGAGCAAGGUUUCAUAUGCUUAUUUACCUCCUGUAUAUAUUCUUUGGCUCAUAUGCUUAUUUACUCCUAUAUAUCUUCUUUGGUGUGGUAGAUGUUACAGUUUUUGGCCCAUAUUUUAAUCAAGUUGUUUAUUUAUUGUUGAAUUUUGGGAAUCCUUUGUAAAUUCUGAAUAGCAAUCACUUAUCAGAUGUGCCCAUUACAAAUAUCUUCCCCCAAUCUGUGUCUUGUCCUUUCAUCUUCUUGACAGCGUUUUUUAUGGAGCAGAAAUUUUUAAUUUUAAUGAAGUCCAGUUUAUCAAUUCUUCUGUUUUGUUGUUGUAUCUGAAAAUCAUUGCCAAACUCAAGGUCAUGUAGAUUAUCCCCUGAAUGAUUUUCUAGGAGUUUUAUAGCUUUGCAUGUCAUAUUUAGAUCUGUGACCCAUUUUGAGCUAAUUUUUGAAAGGUGUAAGGUCUAUGUAAGACUUUUUUUUUUUUUUUUUUUUGGUAUAUAGAUAUCCAGUUGUUCCAGCAUCGCUUGUUGAAAAGAAUGUCUUUGCUCCAUUUUAUUGCCUUUAUACCUUUGUCAAAAUCAGUUGAGUAUAUUCUUGCGGGGCUAUGUCUGGAGAAAACUGCUGUUUGAGAGCCUAGGUGAAAGGUGACCAUGCUUAGUGAGCCAGGGCAUCGCAAAAAUUAGACUGUGCCACACACUGUGUAGCAGCAAUAAGCUGUGAUAGCAAGAAGCUAAUUCCACCCUAGCAUUUGACUGUGGAAGUCCAGAUUAACCCCUUGUUAAAUUGUGUAAGUGUCUGAAGUACAAGGAGAGGGGUUCUCAAGAAGAAAAUAUUAAACUGCCUACUAAUUAGAAGCAAGAGUGCUUAAGCAAUUAAGAAGAAAUGCAGAAGAUGUGUGUGCAUAUUUUUAAUUUGGACACGUAAACCCCACUGCUGUUAUAUAUGAAGUCACGUAUGCACACAUAUGUGUUUACACAUAUUUUUCCAUCAUCAGGCUUUCUGCACACCUCAAUCACUCAAACAUGAAGUAAUAAAAAUUUCCACUCUGAACAACUAUUAGAAAAAUCAACAGUAUUAGUAGCAUCAGAUGGUGAUACCCAAUGUGAAAGAUUAGAUUCCCAGCAUCAGCAGAAUAGUCUCCACUUGCACUUUAGUCAGAGAGACAGGUGGAUAUUUUGAGCUCUGGUAAGCAGUAAAGUUUUUAUGUGUCUCUCUGGAAAUGAAUUUGGAUUGAUGACUCAUCUGUCAUCAGCUGCUUGGAAAUACUGAACCAUUUGGUAAGUAAUGUGGACAGAUUCUUAUCCACCGUUUCCUCUAUCUUGCUGUCUUUGUUGCCUGUCUAAUACAAAGAUCCAUUUCUAAUUAAAGUGGAGCUUUGAAAGAAGACAAGGUGAGGGUAGAGAGAAAUUAAUUUGAUCAUUCUGGACAAACAGAAAAGCUUCCAGUGUCAGGAGAUAAAGAAGAGAGCAUGAGCAAUAAUAGGGAGGAUUACCCUGUCUUGUGCCUCAAGCGAUUCAGGAGGCAAGAGAGAAAGCUGAAUUCUGUGGUCGUUUCUAGAGCAAAAUGGAACACAGCCCAGCAUUGAAAAGGGGUUUUCUUUUCUUCUAAAAAAUCCAAUUUGGCAAAUUUGGAUGGGACCAUUUGUGUCUGAACUGGCCAAAUAGUUACAAUUAACUCAAGAAUUGCUUCUAGCAAGAUUUCAACAUUUUGCAAGCUAAGGGGCUGGACUGACUCACGAGAGUAAUGUGCUGUCAUUAAUGCACUGACCUUGAAAUAGAGGACACGCCAUGGUAAAAGGAGCUCUCUGGGGAAACAGAAAUAUAUUGAUACCACUUACGGUGUGAUUUAUUUUAGUGGACAGUGGCAGAACGUACAUAGAAGCUGGGAAAAUUGUACAAUGAAACUACAGAGAAACGUAACUUCUUCAUUCUGACCAACAACCUGAUGCUUUAACCUAAUUACUAACAGAAGUUCAUAUACCUAAUACCUAUAUAUGUAUCCAAAUAAUAGAGAGGUUGAUCAUUCUUUAAACGUAAUCAAAUUCCACCAAGGUUUUUUUCUCCGACCAAGAAAAAUUAAUAAUGCCGUUCCAGUGUAAUUUAUCAUCAGUCUACUGAUUUUCUGACAAUCCUGGAAGAUAAUAAAGAGAGCACCAUUUUAAAAUACAUUUUAUUCCUCAAGUCCACAAGGAACUAUGACGCACAGUGGGGACAAUCCAUAACAACACUUUUCAAUGUCUGUGUAAAAUCACGUGUGUGCACGUGUUUGAUUUCAAUUCUUUCCCCAUAUUUGUGUAACUCAGUUACUGCUAGAAAGAUAUAUGGGGGGGGUUAUAGGUUAUUUCUAAUGUACAUACAUUGUUGCUUUGGGAAAAUGCUAAGAAUCCCAGUGCUAUCAGAUCUUGAGGUUUCAGAGAGUGAGAUCCAGUAGCAGUGACUUCUGAGCCAGUUCUGCAGUAUCUUCGUAGGUUUCCCUAACCUUCCGUGACCACAUUUAAUCCCUGCAAUGAGGGAUGCAAAGGACAGUUUGGAUACAGUAUGAAAUCUAUAAACACCGGCUGAUCUACUGACUCACUCCAGCAAGUUGGCCACUUCUCAUGUCUUUCCUUUGAAAAGGAAGUAAAAAAUCCACCCAGAGGUCAAGUCCUCUGCUUCAGCAACAGCGGCUUCCCCCUUUAAUAACAUACACUUUUUUAAUAACAAAAACGUAUAGGCCUCUUAUACUGUAGCAAUUGUUCUCCUAGAAUCCAUUAAUUACAACGAUUCAUAAUGAUUCAAUACUUUCUUUAAGAUCAGUACGCAUUCAAAGAAUGUAGAUUUUAUUAAUAUCUGUGCAUACAUAUUCAUUAUUCGUGGUACAUGUUUUGUUAGAGCUAAAUUAAGACUGAACUGUCAGUGCUUUGUGUGCAUAUGAAUUGUUGGGAGAUCUUUUUCUGGGACCUGCACCCCCACUGAUUGUGAACUCUUGCUCUAAACCCUUCACUUGGCCAAAAUACUUUUUUCUCACUCACAACUGCUCUCAUACACCUACCCUAUAUUCUGCUCUCCACAGUGAACAAAGGGAUUCCUUUCAAUUACAGAUCGUGGCUCCACUCUUCUGAGCCUUUCAGGGCCUUCUCUCUCUCAGAGUAGAAGCUGUAGUCCUUGCCACAGCCUAUAAGGCCUUCAGGAUCUUCUGUCACCUCCCCGGCACUCUCCAGUGUAUGCUCUCUCUCUCUCUCCCAGUUCCAGAUACACUGCCCUGUUUCCUUUUCCCUGGACAACCAAGUCCAAUGGCUCCCAUCUCAAGGCUGUUGGACUUAAUAAUACCUUUGUCUGGAAUAUUUCACUACGGCUCACUCUUUCUCCAUCUUCGAGGAUUUGCUUGUAUCACCACACAAGAGAGAACUUCCCCAACCAUUCUAGUUUCAAUUACAAUUUCUGACACAUUUUUCUCCCAACUCCUCUUACCUAUUAAAGAUUUUCCUCCACAGCACUCAUCACUAUCUAAUAAAGUAUAUAGGGUGUUUGUCUAUAGUUUAUAGGCUGAGGUUCCCAUUUCAAUUAAGCCUUCAUGAGGCAGGAAGAUAAAUUUUCAUGUGUUUUUAUUCACUAUUCUAUCUCUCCUAGUUGGAACAGUGUCUGGCACAUGAUAGGUACAUAAAACUAUUUCUGCAUAGGAGUUCCUCUGGUGGCUCAGCAGGUUAAAAACCCACCUGGUAUCCAUAAGGACUGGGGUUCAAUCCCUGGCCUCACUCAGUGGGUUAAGGAUCUGAUGUUGCUUCAAGCUGUGUAAUGGGUCACAGAUGCAGCUCAGAACUGGCAUUGCUAUGGCUGUGGCGUAGCCAGUGGCUAUGGCUCUGAUUCGACCCCUCGCCUGGGAACUUCCCUGUGCUACAAGUGCAGCCCUAAAAAGGAACCCCCGCCCUCCCAAAAAAGACAAAAAAAAUUAUUAAUAAACUAGAUAGUUACUAUCUUUAUUUAACUCAAAAUAUCACGCACUUAGAAAAACCCUUUCUUGGUCAACCAUUCUGGAAAGCCGUAUCAUUCCCUCUUAAAAUUGUUAUUUUUUAAAUUCUUCCUGAGUGAAUUUUGUCUGCCCUAACUGUCACUAGCUCACUAAAUUCAGGACCUCCUUUAUCUUCCCUAAAUGCUAAUGCUAAUGACACAGUGCUAAGCUCUUAAGAGAUC
RNAcentral lists this long non-coding RNA (5283 nucleotides) under Sus scrofa (pig). Its description in RNAcentral is "lncRNA (ENSSSCG00000052715.1)". The record is from RNAcentral. Lineage: Eukaryota; Metazoa; Chordata; Mammalia; Artiodactyla; Suidae.